CCAGACUCCUACGGGAGGCAGCAGUGAGGAAUAUUGGUCAAUGGUCGGAAGACUGAACCAGCCAUGCCGCGUGCAGGAAGAAUGCCUUAUGGGUUGUAAACUGCUUUUAUAUGGGAAGAAUAAGGAGUACGUGUACUUUGAUGACGGUACCAUAUGAAUAAGCAUCGGCUAACUCCGUGCCAGCAGCCGCGGUAAUACGGAGGAUGCGAGCGUUAUUCGGAAUCAUUGGGUUUAAAGGGUCUGUAGGCGGGCUAUUAAGUCAGGGGUGAAAGGUUUCAGCUUAACUGAGAAAUUGCCUUUGAUACUGGUAGUCUUGAAUAUCUGUGAAGUUCUUGGAAUGUGUAGUGUAGCGGUGAAAUGCUUAGAUAUUACACAGAACACCGAUUGCGGAGGCAGGGGACUAACAGACGAUUGACGCUGAGAGACGAAAGCGUGGGGAGCGAACAGGAUUAGAUACCCUGGUAGUCCACGCUGUAAACGAUGGAUACUAGCUGUUUGGAGUAAUUUGAGUGGCUAAGCGAAAGUGAUAAGUAUCCCACCUGGGGAGUACGCACGCAAGUGUGAAACUCAAAGGAAUUGACGGGGGCCCGCACAAG
Molecule: ribosomal RNA, 596 nt
Filed under: uncultured bacterium
Lineage: Bacteria
Description: bacterial SSU rRNA
Rfam family: Bacterial small subunit ribosomal RNA
Source: RNAcentral